UUCUGUUGUAGCAGGAACCAGAGUUGGAGUGUACUCUGCGUGGAAGAUGGUUUUGUUUUUCAUAUUUGUGACUAAAAUAACAAGUUUGAUACCCCUGCAUUCUCAGUUGUGAUCAAAUGCACAAGACCUGCAUAAGUUCAAGCCAGACAAAAGUGCUGGCAUGGAGAGAGGAGAGAGGCACAAAGUCUCCAGCUAAGGAGCUAUUGACAGUUGAGAGCUGCUGGGAAAGGGAGAAUCGUUUGUUUUAAAGGUGUGUACUUUGGUGAUCCAAUCGCACUACAGUGGAAGACCACACAUCCAAGAUGUCUGGAGGAAAAGGUUAACAGCUGCUUGCCAGGUGACCAGUGGAAGUUUAUAAAAAGUCCUUUGGAAUAAGAAUGAAGCUUUAAAUGGCCAGUUUCAAGAACUUCAUUGAACUGUAUUUAAAAAAAAAAUGGAGUCUCAUCAAGAAGAAUGUAAAUAAGUCGAUGUUACUUUCACCCAGUUGCUUUCAGAAGGAACAGCAUUUUUAGGUGUGUAUUUCUUUGAGUUCUCUUCCUUCCUCUGGUACAAAUCUGUGGACAGAAGCUCUGACUCUCCGUCUCUCCCUGACUCUCUUUCUCUUUCUCUGUCUGUCCCUGUGUCUGGCUCUCUCUUUGUCUCUGUCUCUGUUUCUCUUUAUCCCUGCCCCCCUCCCCCCUUCUUUUGUUACCUCUGGCUUUCCGUGAAAGUCCAAGAACCUUGAAUCUUUGGAAACUACCCCAUUGAUUACAAAGUGUUUUGACAGGAAGCCUAUCUCAUCUGAACUCAGCAUGAUACAAUCUCUAGUCUUCUUGAGACAAGCUCUUUUCCUUGGCUGUAGUGUCUAUGAUCCUGGACUGACAUUUCUUAUCAGCACCUUAUGAAUGAGCAACUUGAAAUUCAGACACAAGUUUAUGGAUAGAGGAACAGAGGCUGCUCAGUCUGAUUGUCUUUAAAGUUUGAGACCUGCUAGAAGCCAUGUAGAAAUAUUAAACGAGAACAAAUAAA
Long non-coding RNA from Peromyscus eremicus (cactus mouse), 1008 nucleotides. RefSeq lists it as uncharacterized. The transcript has 2 exons. The record is from RefSeq and is a predicted model, not a curated record. Lineage: Eukaryota; Metazoa; Chordata; Mammalia; Rodentia; Cricetidae.